GUUAACUGUACAAUUUACAAGUGUAAAAGUAAUGAAUAUUACAGCAGUAACAAAGAAAAUAAGCCAAAAAUUUCAUUUCACAGGCAAAUGUUUAUUCUUGCAACAAUGUAUUAAUCAGGCCUUACUGCAAUAAUUAAUACACACAUCACCUGACACGGGUAAAUAUAUAGUAUUUUUUUAAUAAAUUACAUACCGACAACAUUUGACCAUACCAGGCAUACAAUACACAUAUAUAUUUACAGUAAAACUAUGUACAGUCAAACUACACAAACUGUAAGUACUCAAUGACCACUUCCACAAUUGGCCUGAAUGCCCAUUAACAACAGUUCUACUGUAUAUCACAAGUGGCAAUUGUUCCUUACAAGGCUCUUGUAAAGGUCACAGAGAAACAAAUUGUGAAAUUAACCCAUUGAGUCGCAUUGCGCCCUGAUGCACAUUACUUUAUUAUUUCACUCUGUCUAACGCCAGAUAAGUUUACUCAUCAAGGGGAUAGCGCUGGCGCUUAAUGGGUUAACUAGCCUAUCUGCCCAUGUGUCUAGUUAACCCAUUGAGAUGCAUUGCACCCUAUUUUAUUAUUUUACUCUGUCUAACGUCAGACUCUUUCUAAUGUCAGACUCUUUCUAACGCCAGACAAUUUCACUUGUCAAGGGGAUAGCGCUGGCGCUUAAUGGGUUAAUUUAACCAUAACAAGUACACUACAAAUCAAAGUCUGUUUACACUACAAUUGAACACUGUGAACAUAUCUUCAAGCUGUAUGUUUGCCAGAAAGGCAACAGCAUCAACAACAUGAAGAACCUAAAAAGCAAAAUGAUUCUGGAAGUUUGUCAUCAUUUUCUCCUGGAUGGCAACAAAUCUGUGUUUGCAGACCACGAGCUAGGUGCAAACAAAGAUAUGAUUGAAGGUGACCACCAAGUAAAUCUAAUAAAGUGGCAGCAGACAAAUAUUAUACAUUGUGUCUCUUCAUGUACAGGAAGCACUACACACCCCCUGAGGAAAUCAGCUUCAGUUGACAGGGUUAGCAUGGGUAAAUAAAAUUUUUCUAUCUAUCCACAAUCAUACAGAAUGGAAUGCCCAGUGACAGGCACCAUUUAAUGCGCCGACCAAUUUAUACUGUUAACACCCUCCCGGGCAUUUGACAACUUGAGUGGGGAAUUUGACCUUUUGAAGUGCUGUUAGGGUAGGGCAUUUUACGCUGAGUCACAAGACUGGGGCAUUUGACCAUUUAAUGGGUCGUUCCAGAAAAGAUCCACACUCCCCCCACAGAGGAAAUUUUUGCCGUCCGGAGGGGGAGGGGAGAAAAAAUUGUUUCUGAUAAUAGUAAAUGCAUUAGGACAUCCAAAGGUGGUAGGGGGUAAACUUCCAAUUUCCUCUGUGGGGGUGGUAUGGAUGUUUUCUGGAACGACCCAAUACACCAGAUUGCGAGAGGUCUGAGAUUUAUUAAAAAACAAAAUUCAAAAUGGAGUAUACUUUAAACACUUUUGGAAGCUUUAUAAAGCAUGAGAUGUAAGUUGUUUAAUACAGAGUCUCAUUUAUUAAACUGUUGAAGUUAGCGUUGAAGUUACCUCAGUGUAUGUUUUUACACAAUUUCAAACUUGAACUGAUAGAAUUACAGUCAGAAUGAUUGGGGGAUUGGGGCAUUUGGACAGCAUUUUUGUCCUGGGAGUGGGAAAUUUAACCACAAAAGUUCAAAAAGUUCAAAUGCCCAGGGGUAUGCCCGGGGGAUGUUAACAGUAUAAAUUGAUUGGCGCAUAAACAAGUUGAAUGAUUCUUGUUCAAAAAUCAAUAGUUAUAGCAAAUAAGAGUACAAUAAGAGUAAAAUAAUACAAUACUUAUCUUUUAAUUAAUGAUUCGUUGGCCUGAGUCCACAAAUAUAGCCCAAACUGAACCAAUUCGUUGCUGUUGGAACGUUUGACUUUUCAGUCAGUAUUAAAAGCAAAACGAUGUCGCUCGUCGCUCGAUAAAAUAACUUUAAUAGGUUAGAUUGCAGAAUACCCGUCCACUUUGACAUAUUACACCUAUUAAUUCCUUGUAAACAUGGCGAAAUCAGAAAAGAAUGUCAAUUUUAAAUGCUUCGUUCUUUAAAGACUCCGGCAUUGAAUUUAACUACAAGCAACAUAUUCUUGUAGUUUUAUCUUUAAAUUUUAAUUGUGAACUGUUUUGAAAUAAUCUUUUAAUUCAUUUAUUCGGUUUAACAACCUAUCAAAAGUGGACGGGUAUUCUGCAAUCGCUCCCUUU
Non-coding RNA from Paramuricea clavata, 2235 nucleotides. NCBI's taxonomy places the organism in Eukaryota, Metazoa, Cnidaria, Anthozoa, Malacalcyonacea, Plexauridae. The record is from the annotation of a GenBank genome assembly.